GGAAUCAACGCUGGCGGCGUGCCUCAGACAUGCAAGUCGAACGCGAAAGUCCCCUUCGGGGGACAAGUAGAGUGGCGCACGGGUGAGUAACACGUAGGUAAUCUACCUUCGGACGGGGAAUAACAACCGGAAACGGUUGCUAAAUACCGCAUAAUGCAGCGGCACCUAAUGGUGACAGUUGUUAAAGCGGGGGAUCGAAAGACCUCGCGUCUGAAGAGGAGCCUGCGGCGGAUUAGCUAGUUGGUAAGGUAAUGGCUUACCAAGGCUACGAUCC
Molecule: ribosomal RNA, 274 nt
Filed under: uncultured bacterium
Lineage: Bacteria
Description: partial small subunit ribosomal RNA
Rfam family: Bacterial small subunit ribosomal RNA
Source: RNAcentral